CGAGAACCUUAACCCCCCUGUUGUGAGACAAAAAGAAAAGUAAGUACCAAAACCAUCUCUCCCCCCGUCCCCCUGGUCAGCCUCGUGCAGAACACGGGCCCCCGCUCGGCGGCCGGAAGUCAGACACAGAACAGUGGUGAAAUGAGAUCCCCCCUCAAAGGACGUCCGAAGCACAGAUCCGGGGUGGUACCUACUUGUCCCAGGCGGUUCGGUGGCCUCCAGGACAGCCCAGGCCCAGCCCUGCCUAAGGAGCAGGGAAGAUGGCUGUGGGGAGGAGGAGGAAGAGGAGGAGGAGGCAGCGGCUGAGCUGUUUGGGGGCUGGGCCUGCUCACUGCUUCUCCUUAUCUAAGGGGACAGAGCCGGGGAUCCCGCCGCAGGCCGGGUGACCCCAACAAUGCAUGUGUGUCUUGCGAUGAUGUGGCCACAGCUGUGGCUCCCUCAGUGGGGGGAGGCGAAUGGCGAGGACGGAGGUGGGGGCUCCCUCCCUCCGGCCCCCUCCCCACCCCAACCCCUGGCUGUCCUGGGGUCUCCCGCCCCUCUCUGGGGUUUCAUAGUUUGAAGGUCCCUUUAGGGGAGAACUUACAGGCCAUGUCCUCAAUGAGCCCUGUUUGGAUUGACUGCACCUCACGGGUUCCCUGCUUGGAGAGCCGCUGGACCCCCACCUUGUCACCCCCUCCCCUACCUUGGAGGGGGCUGGGCCCUCGUCCUCCCGGAAGCUCAGUGGUUUCUCGACCUCGUUGAAUGCUGCAGAAGCUUAACGGGGGCAGAGAGGAGACAAGGCCAUUUCUCGGGAGCCCGCAGCUCCCCCAGAAUGUGCAGGGUGGAUCCUGUCUGGCCUCUUCAGCCUGCUUCUCCCCCAGGCCCUAGCUGGGCCCACAGCUGGCCCCAAGGACACCCCCUUAAGGCCCUGGCAGCAGGGAGUCUGGGGCACCCAAGCUCGGUGGCCUUGGAGGUGACAGCUUUGGCCCUGGUAGGGCCCUGGGGUGGGGGGCGGGGGGCGGCGCCAGCGGAGUAACUGCUGAUUAAGGGGCCGGCUGACUACUACUUGAUGUGAGUGGCAGAUGGUUGGGGGUGGGGUGGGGGUGCCUGAAAUAGAGUUGGGGGGAGGCCGGCACUAAAACCUCAUCCCCCCCACCUCCCAGGGCCUCUCUGCUUCCAUCCGGGUGGGUCUCAGCCUCUCUCUUCCCAUGGCCAGCAGGACUUCUGGGGAAGGGCCUGAGGGCAGAGUCCCAGGGCUGGGUGGUCCCAGGGGAGCGGGCAGGGCAGGGCAGGGAGUUCAGGUUCUCCAUGGAAGGGACUGUCCAUCUGUCUGCGCACACACCCUCCAGUGCCUCCCAGGCAGGGAGGGGGCUGCAGACUGGCUUCCUGAUGACCCAGGUGGUUCACGCCUAUAAUCGCAGCACUUUGGAAGGCUGAGUUGGGAGGCUUCCUUGAGCCCAGGAGUUCGAGACUGGCCUGGGAAACAGAUCCCAUCUCUACAUAAAAUAAAAAAAUUAGCUGGGCACGGUGGCACGCCCUGUAGUCCCAGCUACUUGGGAGGCUGAAGCAGGAGGAUUGCUUGAGCUCAAGAGGUUGAGGCUGCAGUGAGCGAUGAGGGUGCCUCUGCACUCCAGCCUGGGUGACAGAGUGAGACCCUGCCUCAAAAAAACCCCCCAAAGAUUGCCUUCCCAGCUGGAGAAGCCACUGAGCCAGGGGCACAGCGGGGUCCUGCCUGUCUGUCCCAGGCCCCGGGAACCCUGAGACACCCCUCCCCAACCCCUCACAGGGAAAGGCUUCAGAAGCUGCAAACCAAGGACCCCACUGUGGGCACGAGAAUCCCGCCCUCGCACGGGAGCUCGGAAGGCCAGCUUCCAACGAGGUCCUCUGCCCUCCACAGACUCCAUGGGCUGCCUGUCACCUGGGGUCCUGCAAGGGUCAAGGAGGGAGGCCCCCAGGCAGGGGACUUUCAGUAGAGCCAGGCUACCCUCAGCCAAGUUCCUCAAGCUCCGGGAAUGACUUGGCCCAGAGAAGUGUCAGCCACGCGACAACAUGGGGGCCUCUGUGUGAUGGUUGGUGCCUGCCCUGGACUCUCAGUCCCUUCCUGGGCCCACGAUAGGUACCUCAAGGGAGCGGGGCAGGAUUUUUUGUUUGUUUGUUUUUGAGACAGGGUCUGGCUCUGUCGCCCAGGCUGGAGUGCAGUGGUGUGAUCUCGGCUCACCGCAACCUCUGCCUCCCAGGAGAAUAGCGUGAACCCGGGAGGCGGAGCUUGCAGUGACCCGAGAUUGUGCCGCUGCACUCCAGCCUGGGCGACAGAGCGAGACUCCG
This 2304-nucleotide long non-coding RNA is filed under the name Homo sapiens (human). Its description in RNAcentral is "HSALNT0254660". The record is from RNAcentral. Lineage: Eukaryota; Metazoa; Chordata; Mammalia; Primates; Hominidae.